RNAcentral lists this transfer RNA (84 nucleotides) under Candidatus Aenigmatarchaeota archaeon. RNAcentral describes it as "tRNA-Ser". It matches the Rfam family "tRNA". From Rfam's summary of the family: Transfer RNA (tRNA) molecules are approximately 80 nucleotides in length. Their secondary structure includes four short double-helical elements and three loops (D, anti-codon, and T loops). Further hydrogen bonds mediate the characteristic L-shaped molecular structure. tRNAs have two regions of fundamental functional importance: the anti-codon, which is responsible for specific mRNA codon recognition, and the 3' end, to which the tRNAs corresponding amino acid is attached (by aminoacyl-tRNA synthetases). tRNAs cope with the degeneracy of the genetic code in two manners: having more than one tRNA (with a specific anti-codon) for a particular amino acid; and 'wobble' base-pairing, i.e. permitting non-standard base-pairing at the 3rd anti-codon position. Lineage: Archaea; Nanobdellati; Candidatus Aenigmatarchaeota. RNAcentral also lists the same sequence under 2 other names. The record is from RNAcentral.
GCUGAGGUCGCAUAACCUGGUAGUGCGCCAGCCUGCUAAGCUGGUGAGCGAGAGCUCAUGUGGGUUCAAAUCCCACCCUCAGCG